CGGCCAACACUUUUACAGUUCAUCCAAGGAGGGCAUUAAUGGCUGCAAUCGCUCGUUGCCUAACUUGAUCGGCCGAGUCUAAUAUCCGCUAGUCAUCAUCGGCUGAUCCUGGGACUUCUGGCAUAUGGAGAUGGAGUCUGAUUGCUUCGUGGGCUAGGUUUUGUCUCUCUUGCUUCAGUUCGGUGAUGACAGAGGGAAGGUCUUGGAG
RNAcentral lists this long non-coding RNA (208 nucleotides) under Setaria italica (foxtail millet). RNAcentral's name for it is "long non-coding RNA (SITA_LNC000436)". Lineage: Eukaryota; Viridiplantae; Streptophyta; Magnoliopsida; Poales; Poaceae. The record is from RNAcentral.